UACGAAGGGGGCUAGCGUUGCUCGGAAUCACUGGGCGUAAAGCGCACGUAGGCGGCUUUUUAAGUCAGGGGUGAAAUCCCGGAGCUCAACUCCGGAACUGCCUCUGAUACUGGAGAGCUUGAGUCCGGGAGAGGUGAGUGGAACUGCGAGUGUAGAGGUGAAAUUCGUAGAUACUCGCAAGAACACCAGUGGCGAAGGCGGCUCACUGGCCCGGUACUGACGCUGAGGUGCGAAAGCGUGGGGAGCAAACAGG
Molecule: ribosomal RNA, 253 nt
Filed under: uncultured bacterium
Lineage: Bacteria
Description: partial 16S ribosomal RNA
Rfam family: Bacterial small subunit ribosomal RNA
Source: RNAcentral